Long non-coding RNA from Polyodon spathula (Mississippi paddlefish), 390 nucleotides. RefSeq lists it as uncharacterized. The transcript has 3 exons. Lineage: Eukaryota; Metazoa; Chordata; Actinopteri; Acipenseriformes; Polyodontidae. The record is from RefSeq and is a predicted model, not a curated record.
GGGAAAGAUGAUCUGCUAUUGAAACCAAAACAUAAGUUGGAGAAAUGCCAGAAGGAAAAAGAAGACCUUCACUCUCAGGUGUUGAGAUGCAAAAAAGAAAAAGAAGUGGCAUCUAAUGUCGAAGCACUGUUGACAGAGCUGCCAGACUUGCUACAACAAGUUUGAGAGCUAAAAGCAAAGUCAUCUUGUGAAUGUACUCAUGGAGAAAAUGAGGAAAAGAAAGGGGUAUCAAAAAAGAACGAGUCCUCUUUUUGAAUCUCAAAAUACGCUCAGUCAUCCAAAAAUCCUCAGAAGGUGUUGCAGGAUUUAAUAACUUUCAGCCGAAGUGAAAUGGCAAGUCUCUCAAUAAGUGGAGACACAACUAAUGCCACCAUUGAUGUUGCUCCAAAG